UGUACAAGUAGAUGGGUAACAUGCUGGUC
RNAcentral lists this non-coding RNA (29 nucleotides) under Homo sapiens (human). Lineage: Eukaryota; Metazoa; Chordata; Mammalia; Primates; Hominidae. The record is from RNAcentral.